This 182-nucleotide ribosomal RNA is filed under the name uncultured bacterium. RNAcentral's name for it is "partial 16S ribosomal RNA". It matches the Rfam family "Bacterial small subunit ribosomal RNA", at positions 338 to 510 of the family's 1533-position model. The record is from RNAcentral.
CCUACGGGGCGCAGCAGUCAGGAAUAUUGCGCAAUGGGGGAAACCCUGACGCAGCGACGCCGCGUGGGUGAUGAAGGCCUUCGGGUCGUAAAGCCCUGUCGGGAGGGAAGAAAAGUGCGCCGACGAAUAAUCGGCGCGCCUUGACGGUACCUCCAAAGGAAGCACCGGCUAACUCCGUGCCA